UACCUCAGUAGCCUUGAGCUCAAGGAAAAAGUACUACUCCUCACCUCAUCACCCUGCUCUCCUCCUACCUCCUCAUGAACAACCAGAAAUGUUCCAGCCUUCUACAGUUGCAUAAGAUGGCUCCAGACCUUCAUACAGCAAAUCAAGGUCAAACUGAGAUAUGGCCUGAUGCCCUAUAGGGAGAUAUUCUGAAGAGAGAUGAAGAACAAUGGAGAUGAUUUCGAAAGGAGGUUCUUCCCAGCCUAUGAAGCUUUAAUGCAAAUUGCUGCCCUUCUUCAUUUGCAACGACGUAAAUAUCUAGA
Molecule: long non-coding RNA, 302 nt
Organism: Hyaena hyaena (striped hyena)
Lineage: Eukaryota; Metazoa; Chordata; Mammalia; Carnivora; Hyaenidae
Exons: 3
Source: RefSeq, a predicted model, not a curated record